Long non-coding RNA from Synchiropus splendidus (mandarinfish), 339 nucleotides. RefSeq lists it as uncharacterized. Lineage: Eukaryota; Metazoa; Chordata; Actinopteri; Syngnathiformes; Callionymidae. The transcript is spliced from 3 exons. The record is from RefSeq and is a predicted model, not a curated record.
GCGCUCUCUCCUGGUGCUCAUGUGUCUGCUUGGAUUGGUGGUCUGGUGCCACUCGUACUGCACCAUUACUCAGUUUGAAGGUCCGGAUUCAAAGUGUGUUGAUUCAAAUGGAAAAGUCUAUUCAGAGGGAGAAGAAUGGACAGAUGGAUGCUAUAAGUGCGAGUGCGCGUCCUCCAGCUACAGCUGCUGCCUUAUUUAUAACUGCAAGGUGUGAGAAGCAGAUUGACAGGGAGGACUGCAAAGUUAAUCAUGUGCCCAAAGAGGAUCAUGUGACACCAUGCACAGUAUAAAGUAAAGUACAAACUCCACGUCUGGUGCACUUAGUCACCUGAACAUUGG